RNAcentral lists this ribosomal RNA (94 nucleotides) under Enterobacter cloacae. The record is from RNAcentral. RNAcentral also lists the same sequence under 13 other names. Lineage: Bacteria; Pseudomonadati; Pseudomonadota; Gammaproteobacteria; Enterobacterales; Enterobacteriaceae.
CCUGGCGGCUUUAGCGCGGUGGUCCCACCUGACCCCAUGCCGAACUCAGAAGUGAAACGCCGUAGCGCCGAUGGUAGUGUGGGGUCUCCCCAUG